Molecule: non-coding RNA, 153 nt
Filed under: bovine gut metagenome
Source: RNAcentral
UCAGGUUUCCGAGGAAUUAAUAGGGAAUCUUGUGAAAAUCAAGAGCUAUACCCGUAGCUGUAAGUUCAGGAAACGGCUUUUCGCACCAAGUCACUGGCAUUGUCCGGGAAGACGCGUAAAGUUUGAACGAGCCAGAAGACCUGCCUGUUUUCC